This 2036-nucleotide long non-coding RNA is filed under the name Malus domestica (apple). RNAcentral describes it as "long non-coding RNA (MDOM_LNC015314)". The record is from RNAcentral. Lineage: Eukaryota; Viridiplantae; Streptophyta; Magnoliopsida; Rosales; Rosaceae.
GAGCGUCGGAAAGCCUUUGGUCGGCACACUGCCAGGGCUUGUUCAUGGUUAUCUGUUGUUUAACAGGUUACUCGAAUUUGUGCCUCCACCAUACAUGGUGGUACGCGAAUUUGGUUCCAAUAAUUUCCUUCAAAUCCCAUGUUUAUGAUCUAGCAUUAUUUGUUUUCACUUGUAACAAAGGACUUAAGUUUGAAUCAAUUAAUACCGAUCAAUCAUGUCCAAGGAUGAUAUUAUGUUAAGAUAUGAACUAUAAACUAGAAAAUGGGAAGAAAAAGAGAAUAAAGAAAGUUCGGUGAUGAUAUUAUGUUAAGGUAUGAAGUAUAAAGUAGAAAAUAGGAAGAAAAAGAGAAUGGAGAAGAAGCACAAGAGAAUGGAAAUGAGAAGUUGUAUUUUUUAUAAAUACCCUGAAUUAUUACAAUAACCUCCUAACAACUCUCUAACAAGUAUGCAUGCGAUUGUGAAGUCAUCUAUUAAAAAUUUGGUCUCCCCAAUAUGAUUUUAAGAAAAUUGCUCUAAAAUUUGUUUUCAUCACUUAUUGUUAAUAUAUAUAACUUCAAAUAAUUUUCUUCCUCUCAAAAAUUCGACGAUGAUUAAUCAUGUCUGUUCUAUUUCUCGCUCUAGUGCCACUCACAAUUUUAGUUAAAACUAAAUAAAAUCAAUUAUAUAAAUAUAGAAAUGGAUCAUCUUCAGAUCCCUUCCUCCUAAUCACCUAAAUCAAGGGAUCUGUGACGUUAAAAUUUGAUUCAACGACUAAAGUUAUUAUAACUUUUAAAGUGGGGCCCUGUUUGUAACCGUUGGAUUAAUUUUAACGGCACAGAUCUCCUGAUUUGGUAGAUUAGGACAAAGAGAUCCGGAAAGGAUCCCUUUCCACAAUAGUAAAUUUGGUUGUGACUUAAUUAUAUGUAUUAAGAAAAAUCAAUUAAAAAGGAAGUAGAAGUAGCAUUAGGUUGAAUUGUGUUAUGUUCCUUCCGAGUGCAAUAUAUGGUUAGUAUAAUGGCACAAGUAAAGGUGUCAAACCACAAGGACUGAUUAGACCUCUAUAAAUUACUAGCCUGAAAAGAACCCUAACUAAACAAUGAAAUCAACAAAUUGAAUGUAGGUUUUGUGCUGUUAAUGAGAAUAACUAAAAAUACAAGAAAAAUGUAACAACGAAUGAUAUGUUGAUUGAGAAACGAUGAGGAUGGGUCCAGGGAUUUCGAGUUCACCAUUACAAAACUAAUUCCAUGUUUAUAAAGUUAAACCGUAUUCAAUUACCAACAUGUUUUCAGAGUUCGUUUUACAUAUAUAUGAUCAGCCAUAUGAUGUGUGGUUUUGAUCAAAUUCUCCUAAUCUACAACCUAAUUGGGAUGUUCAACUUCGGUUCCAAAUUAAGAGUCUUUAGCAUGCAAGAAAACGUUAAAGAACCAAAGAAAAUACAUGGUAGGAUGUUUGCAUAGCAUUCUCUUCAUUCAUUCACAUGUCUACCAAGAUUAAGCUUGAUGUUUACUAUAAGGGAUACUUUGGAUGCGGUCCCUAAUCUUUAACAUUCUUUGAUUAAAACCUUAAUAGUAUUCAAAGUUUGAUCAAAGUCCCUUGAAUUUGUACACCUCAUUAUAUUACUAUUAAUAUUUAUAUUUUUAUAGUUUUGACAUUAAUUGUUUGAUAUUUUAUGAGAUUUAUAAUCCUAUAAAUUUAAAAUUCCUCAUUAUAAUACUAUUAAAAACAGUUACAAUAAAAAAAAAAAUCAAACAUUUUGAUUUAAUAAAUGGAUAAAAACUAUGUUAAAAUAAGAAAUAAUAAAUACAAAAGAAUGUAUCCAUAGUGUUAAAAAAAUGGUACCUUUUACAAAAAAAUAGGUACAUUUCACAUAUAACAAAGUGGUACAUUAAUAAAGAAGAAUGGGUACAUUAUAAAUAAAUUAGGGUACAAAUAAAAGAUUAAAAAAAUUAUGAGUACAAAUGAAUUUUUAAAAAAAUAUAGUUGCUAAAAGAAAUUAAUACAUGGGUACAAAAUAAAACUAAAAAGAAAAUACUACAAAUUUAAAAAAAAAAUGUUGC